RNAcentral lists this ribosomal RNA (823 nucleotides) under uncultured bacterium. Its description in RNAcentral is "bacterial SSU rRNA". It matches the Rfam family "Bacterial small subunit ribosomal RNA", at positions 26 to 818 of the family's 1533-position model. The record is from RNAcentral.
AGAACGAACACUGGCGGCAUGGAUUAGGCAUGCAAGUCGAACGAGAACGCUCUCUUCGGAGAGUUAGUACAGUGGCGAACGGGUGAGUAACGGGUGGAAAACCUGCCCUUCAAUGGGGGAUAACAGUUCUAACGAGCUGCUAAUACCGCAUACGACCUUCGGAUCUCCUGAUCUGAAGAUGAAAGGUGGCGAUAUCUUCGGAUAGCUGCCGUUGAAGGAUGGUUCCGCCUCCCAUUAGCUUGUUGGUGGGGUAAUGGCCUACCAAGGCGACGAUGGGUAGCCGGCCUGAGAGGGUGUCCGGCCACACUGGGACUGAGAUACGGCCCAGACUCCUACGGGAGGCAGCAGUCGAGAAGCUUCGGCAAUGGGCGAAAGCCUGACCGAGCGAUGCCGCGUGAGCGAAGAAGGUUCUAUGAAUUGUAAAGCUCUGUCAGAUUGGGAAGAAAACUGUGCGGUUAAUACCCGUACAGCUUGACGGUACCAUCAGAGGAAGCACCGGCUAACUCCGUGCCAGCAGCCGCGGUAAUACGGAGGGUGCAAGCGUUGUUCGGAUUCACUGGGUAUAAAGGGUGCGUAGGCGGCCUUUUAAGUCAGAGGUGAAAUGUGACGGCUCAACCGUCAAACUGCCUCUGAAACUGAAAGGCUUGAGUUCGAGAGAGGAAGGUGGAAUUCCAGGUGUAGCGGUGAAAUGCGUAAAUAUCUGGAGGAACACCAGUGGCGAAGGCGGCCUUCUGGCUCGAAACUGACGCUCAGGCACGAAAAGCAUGGGGAGCGAACGGGAUUAGAUACCCCGGUAGCCCAUGCCGUAAACGAUGGGAUACUA